This 141-nucleotide ribosomal RNA is filed under the name Triticum aestivum (bread wheat). RNAcentral's name for it is "partial small subunit ribosomal RNA". Lineage: Eukaryota; Viridiplantae; Streptophyta; Magnoliopsida; Poales; Poaceae. The record is from RNAcentral.
AUGGGUAGAGGGGAAAGCUUCAACAUGCGGGAGGAUGAGUUGUUGUGCAUUGCAUGGUUGGCUACUAGCCUCGAACCGAUCCAUGGCACGGAGCAAAAAGGGCAUAACUUUUUGGGCCAACAUUCACACAUGGUUCCAUGA